Molecule: ribosomal RNA, 1075 nt
Filed under: Escherichia coli
Lineage: Bacteria; Pseudomonadati; Pseudomonadota; Gammaproteobacteria; Enterobacterales; Enterobacteriaceae
Description: partial 23S ribosomal RNA
Rfam family: Bacterial large subunit ribosomal RNA
Source: RNAcentral
CAUAGGUUAAUGAGGCGAACCGGGGGAACUGAAACAUCUAAGUACCCCGAGGAAAAGAAAUCAACCGAGAUUCCCCCAGUAGCGGCGAGCGAACGGGGAGCAGCCCAGAGCCUGAAUCAGUGUGUGUGUUAGUGGAAGCGUCUGGAAAGGCGCGCGAUACAGGGUGACAGCCCCGUACACAAAAAUGCACAUACUGUGAGCUCGAUGAGUAGGGCGGGACACGUGGUAUCCUGUCUGAAUAUGGGGGGACCAUCCUCCAAGGCUAAAUACUCCUGACUGACCGAUAGUGAACCAGUACCGUGAGGGAAAGGCGAAAAGAACCCCGGCGAGGGGAGUGAAAAAGAACCUGAAACCGUGUACGUACAAGCAGUGGGAGCACGCUUAGGCGUGUGACUGCGUACCUUUUGUAUAAUGGGUCAGCGACUUAUAUUCUGUAGCAAGGUUAACCGAAUAGGGGAGCCGAAGGGAAACCGAGUCUUAACUGGGCGUUAAGUUGCAGGGUAUAGACCCGAAACCCGGUGAUCUAGCCAUGGGCAGGUUGAAGGUUGGGUAACACUAACUGGAGGACCGAACCGACUAAUGUUGAAAAAUUAGCGGAUGACUUGUGGCUGGGGGUGAAAGGCCAAUCAAACCGGGAGAUAGCUGGUUCUCCCCGAAAGCUAUUUAGGUAGCGCCUCGUGAAUUCAUCUCCGGGGGUAGAGCACUGUUUCGGCAAGGGGGUCAUCCCGACUUACCAACCCGAUGCAAACUGCGAAUACCGGAGAAUGUUAUCACGGGAGACACACGGCGGGUGCUAACGUCCGUCGUGAAGAGGGAAACAACCCAGACCGCCAGCUAAGGUCCCAAAGUCAUGGUUAAGUGGGAAACGAUGUGGGAAGGCCCAGACAGCCAGGAUGUUGGCUUAGAAGCAGCCAUCAUUUAAAGAAAGCGUAAUAGCUCACUGGUCGAGUCGGCCUGCGCGGAAGAUGUAACGGGGCUAAACCAUGCACCGAAGCUGCGGCAGCGACGCUGAUGCGUUGUUGGGUAGGGGAGCGUUCUGUAAGCCUGUGAAGGUGUGCUGUGAGGCAUGCUGGAG